Molecule: ribosomal RNA, 473 nt
Filed under: uncultured bacterium
Lineage: Bacteria
Description: bacterial SSU rRNA
Rfam family: Bacterial small subunit ribosomal RNA
Source: RNAcentral
GAUGAACGCUAGCGGCAGGCUUAACACAUGCAAGUCGAGGGGUAGAUUACUUCGGUAAUUGAGACCGGCGCACGGGUGCGUAACGCGUAUACAAUCUACCUUUUACAGAGGGAUAGCCCAGAGAAAUUUGGAUUAAUACCUCAUAGUAUUUUCGAAUCGCAUGAUUUGAUUAUUAAAGUUCCAACGGUGAAAGAUGAGCAUGCGUCCCAUUAGCUAGAUGGUAAGGUAACGGCUUACCAUGGCUACGAUGGGUAGGGGUCCUGAGAGGGAGAUCCCCCACACUGGUACUGAGACACGGACCAGACUCCUACGGGAGGCAGCAGUGAGGAAUAUUGGACAAUGGGCGCAAGCCUGAUCCAGCCAUGCCGCGUGCAGGAUGACGGUCCUAUGGAUUGUAAACUGCUUUUAUACAGGAAGAACCACUCCGACGUGUCGGAGCUUGACCGGUACUGUAAGAAUAAGGAUCGGCUAAC